AUGCAUCUUGAUAAACUUUCCAGAGUUAUGUCUAAUGAGUUUUUUUUGGUGGGCAUGAAGAGAAAGGCAUCACAAAGCAUUCACUUUCCAUCUCUUCAAUUAAAUUCAAUAAUCAUCAAAGUCCAGUGGCAAGACAAAAGUCAGGAUGACUGGAAAUGAUCCCUUAUACAGUAGAUGACCGUGACCUCUUAGAUGUCUAACCAAGUUUUUGGUGCUCAACAGAGCCCACUUCUGCCACCUUUAUGGCUAUUGGAAGAAAUUACUCUCAUCCAACCAUUCCUGGGGUUGUUCCCCCCAAUUUAACACAGUUUUGAGGCCUGAUGGUUACCCUCAACCUGGUUUAAUCUGUCUACUGAGAAGGUAUUACUGGGAUGUGGCCACUCCCAAUGCUACAGAUUGUUGCAGCCACUGAUGAGAGUUGGGUGAAAAGUCAGGUGUAUCCAAAUUUGGAUGAGCAGCCCUAAAAAGAGCUAUCGUACAGGCAGUGACUAAUACAGAAUUUAAAUCUAAAUCUUCUGAGUCCAAACUAACACUUUCCAAUGUAUCACAACUAAAUUGAUCCCAGAGGAGAAAUCCACCAAGAGAGCUUUGUUCAAAUCCACCAAGAGAAUUAUGCUCCUGAAGCUCUUCCCAGUGACCUGAAUUCUUGGGGAAAGAGCCAUUAACUUCAUCAUUGCCAUAUGGUCAUUUUUUUCAUAAUGCCUCAAUGCUUUUAUCAGGAGUAUCAAAAUGAACAUAAAGGUAAAGCCAAUGAAGCUGAUGGCAAUUUGUAGUUGUUUUUAAAAUUUAUUCAUAGGAUUAUCCUGAGUUUUUACUGGUUCUCUUUGUUACUGAAUUUUGAGGAAUGUAGUGAUUUGAACCAGGAAAACAAGCCUUAAGCCUCUCUCCCCUAAGUCUGUCAAGUCAGCCAAAUAUUCCUGAAUUUUUCUGAUUAUUAUUAUUUCUCUAUAUUAUUUAUAAUAUUUGUAUAUCAAUGAUUAAUUUACAAAUAUGGAAUCACUAAAAAAUUAAGAUCAUUGUUAUGAAAGUAAAAGACAAGUUUUUCUAUGCUUCAGAAACCUUCCCCAAUAACACCAAGGUGAGAGAGGCAAAAUUUGGAAGGGAAGUCUCUACUAGGCCCAAGAGUUUAUGCUCAAGUGAGAAGAGCUCCCUUUUCAAAAUCUGGUCCUGAUCUUGCAUGUUCCAGAUUCCACAGGACUUUUGCUAAUCUUCAGGCACAUUAUUACUACUUUUGUGAGAGAUAUUUUUCAAGCUAUAGGCCAGAUUUCAGAGUGAGCUAAGAUGCUUAGUGGUAUUCUUGAUAUGGAAGUUAAACUAGUUUGGAUUCCUUUGAGCACCCUGUCCAUUUUUCAAUGCCAAAAUUUGCAGAUUCCAAAAAGGCCCCUCUGUGCUCUGUAUGCAGUAAGUGCUACCAUAUGAAGCCAAAGAGAAUCUGUCUGUUGUCAGAUCCAUGCCAGAGCCUUACUGGUCAAUAAUUAAUAGAAACAAAUGGAAUAGACCACAUUAGACAAAAGGAGCUAAUUAUUGUUUUUUGGACAGUGGAUUAUAACUUUAAAUUCAUAUUUUUGCUGGACUUGGAAAAUUGACAUAAAUGAGACAUGGAUUUGACUAUGUCACUUCUCCUUUCAGAAAUCUUGGCUUCCUAUUGCCCGUAGGAUAAAAUACAAAAUUCUUAACAUAGUACUUGAAGCCCUCCACAAUAUGAUUCUGAAUCUAUUCUUUAAUUAUUAUCUCAGAUUAUUCUUCAAGCAUUCUCUGUUCUUAUUCAACUGAACUAUUGGUUCUUCCCCAUACCAGACAUUCUCCUACUUCUGUGUUUUGCCUAGAUAGUCCUCCAUAUCCAGAAUAUACACCCUCCUUACAUCUACCUCAAAGUACAAUUUAGAUACCUACAUUAGACGUUUCUUAACCUCAUCAGUAGUUAUCAAAUUUUGAAAUUAUUUAUUAUUACUGUAUAUGUGCUUAUUUAUGUACAUGUUGAUUGCACCUCUGCCAUUCAUCCUAGUAGAAUAUAACUUCCUUUAAAGUAUAGUGAAUUUCCUUCCUUCCUUCCUUCCUUCCUUCCUUCCUUCCUUCCUUCCUUCCUUCCUUCCUUCCUUCCUUCCUUCCUUCCUUCCUUCCUUCCUUCCUUCCUUCCUUCAAUAUGUAGGAUUUUAGUAGAAAAAAAAGGAGAUCAAGAUGUCUAGACACAUAAGGAAAGUAUAAACCAAGUAAGGAAACUGGAAAUUAAAUGCCAUACUUGAAAAACAGAGUAUGGGGACAAUAGAAUUCAUGGAGGUGCAUAAAAUAAGAUAUCUAGAAAAAAAUCUACUUUAGAACUCUUUCUACUGCACCACACUGAAUAUCUCAAGGCAAUAGAUAUCUUGUUCAAUUUUCUUAUCAAAAUGUAGACUAUAGGGAGCUAAUGAAAACUAUAACUAGUUUGGGGUUACAAAAGAAAAGUUUGAGUUGUUGGAAUAGAGGGAAGACAAGUGUUGGCUACAUUUAAAAUUUUUGCAUCCCUGACAUGGCUCAUUGCCAGUCACUUUCCAAGCACUUUUAUAGGGACUUUAUGAUGGAGGAGGCAAAGGGAAUGUUUCUUUUCUUUGUGUGAAAAAUAUUCUGGGCCAUGGAGCCUGGAAAAAGAGUGGAAUCUUGUUAUCAGUUAACAGCUGGGAAGAGAGAAACCAGCCAUGGUCACUGUCCCUCAGAGUUGCUAAAUAGCUGAUCAAUUUAUAGAAUCAUAAGAUCAUGUGGUAGCAGAAUCAUAAUAUAGAAAGAGAAAAAGAAACAAAAACCAUCACUGUAUCACAGUAUGACAGAAGGAUUUAGGAAAGUGGAUGAUCCCAAAAUAAAGGACAGAACUUGGCAUCA
Molecule: long non-coding RNA, 2853 nt
Organism: Monodelphis domestica (gray short-tailed opossum)
Lineage: Eukaryota; Metazoa; Chordata; Mammalia; Didelphimorphia; Didelphidae
Source: Ensembl